GUGGCUUUGUGAUGGAAACAUCUGGACUCUCCAGGCUGAGAGAGUGUAAAAAUUGAAGCUGUUCCAGUGUCUUCAAGCUGUCCCACUGUCUUCCAGUAUCUGCACAGUUGCCUAUCGUCCCUUGCCGUCUCUGUUUCAUCGAAGCUGUACUGGGGAUAGGACAGUGCUUGUGAGACAGGCAUGGCACUGCUGGACUAUAACCUCAGCCCUUUAUCAAGUUUUCUAAUGACAGAUCUGUACUUUGAAGAUAGUACC
Long non-coding RNA from Fukomys damarensis (Damara mole-rat), 255 nucleotides. RefSeq lists it as uncharacterized. NCBI's taxonomy places the organism in Eukaryota, Metazoa, Chordata, Mammalia, Rodentia, Bathyergidae. The record is from RefSeq and is a predicted model, not a curated record. The transcript is spliced from 3 exons.